GCUAAACCGAAUAGGUGUGGAAAACAAAUCGAAUCUUUCACAUUGUCAUCUCAGACACAAUGAAUGUAUACUCUUUCCGUACUUAAUGGUGACCAUUUUCCUCUGUGUGGAGGAGGAGUCAGGUGGGACCAGUUUCCUCAUGGCCAUGAUGUUCCCGGCCCACUGGAACUUCUCAGAGUUGAUGAAGAAGAUGGGCUGCUUUACCCUGGCGUAGAUCUCCUCAUCCAGGGGGAACAUCCACGCGUCCAGGGCAAUGCCACACCCGAGGAGAUCAAUAGCAUAUACACUGAACAACAAUAUAAACGCAACAUGUAAAGUGUUGUUUUCAUGAGCUGAAAUUUGUUUACAUCCCUGUUGGUGGACAAAUUUGUUUACAUCCCUGUUAGUGAGAAUUUUUGCUUUGCCAAGAUGAUCCAUCCGACUGACAGGUGUGGCAUAUCAAGAAGAUGAUUAAACAGCAUGAUCAUUACACAGCUGUACCUAGUGGUGGAGACAAUAAAAGGCCACACUAACAUGUGAAGUUUUGUUACACAACACAAUGCCACAGAUGUCACAAGUUUUGAGGUCGUGUGAAAUUGGCAUGCUGACUGUAGGAAUGUCGACCAGAGCUGUUGCUAGAUAAUUGAUUGUUAUUUUCUCUACCACAAGCCGUCUCCAACCUAAUUUUAGAGAACCACAGAUGACGUGUAACCACGCCAGCCCAGGACCUCCACAUCUGGCUUCUUCACCUGUGGGAUCGACUGAGACCAGCCACCCGGAAAAGCUGUGGAUUUGCACAACCAAAGAAUUUCUUCACAAACUGUCAGAAACCAUCUCAGGGAAGCUCAUCUUCAUGCUUGUCGUCCUCACCAGGGAAUUCACCUGAUUGCAGUUUGGCGUCGUAACAAACUGCUGUGGGCAAAUGCUCCCCUUCGAUGGCCACUGACAAGCUGGAGAAGUGUGCUUUUCACGGAAGAGUCCCGUUUUCAGCUUAACCGGGCAGACCGCGUGUAUGGUGUCAUGUGGGCGAGCGGUUUGCCGAUGUCAACGUUGUGAACAGAGAGGCGUUAAGAGGGCUUCGAUCACUGUUGCUCCACCGAAAGAAUGGCCCAUCACUGCUAUCCGGCACAAGUCCAUAGAGUUCUGGGGAAGAGACUCGGCCCGGCCCACCCAGGAAACGCUGGAGCAGUAGCCAAAGAGGAAGCCAGUCCAGUGACUAGUAGGUUGUGCAGAGACACAUUCUAUUCCAGGUUAGAAUCUGGGACGUUUAUCAAUUAAACUGUUCAGUGACAAUUUCUUGUCAGUUCAAUGGCAUUUUAUUUGCAUUCUGUGUCCAGAAUUUACUUCUAGAUUAUCCAGUAAUUUGCCUUGCUUUUUCCUUUCGUUCUUAAAUCACCCAGCUUCACCUCAUUUGGCUCAAGUUAGCUAUUCGGCUGCUGAUCAGAAAUUCCUUGGGGCUUGUCAAUUUUUCUCAACUAUUUGGUGCUAUGGACAUUCUGUAAAAUAACACCACCAUUUUAGGAUGAUUGUUGACAUUUGUUUCAGUAGUUCUAAACAGAACUCUUUCAUCCAGGGCUUUUGCACCAGUCUAUUGCAUUUAUAUAAAACCGCAAGAUUGAUAUGUUCAAAAUGUUUUUGUAAUGUUUCUUUUUUGUAAUUUUGCCAGUGUGUCAAAAAUAAAGCACUAGAUUUA
Molecule: long non-coding RNA, 1672 nt
Organism: Oncorhynchus nerka (sockeye salmon)
Lineage: Eukaryota; Metazoa; Chordata; Actinopteri; Salmoniformes; Salmonidae
Exons: 2
Source: RefSeq, a predicted model, not a curated record